Molecule: non-coding RNA, 75 nt
Organism: Streptomyces rubellomurinus
Lineage: Bacteria; Bacillati; Actinomycetota; Actinomycetes; Kitasatosporales; Streptomycetaceae
Rfam family: ASpks TB sRNA
Source: Rfam
CUUCAACGAGCCCAGCCACAGCGGCCGUUCGGCCGGCCGCUGCUGCCCGUAGGUGGCCAGCAGGGCCUGCGCCUC